AGUGAACGCUGGCGGUAGGCCUAACACAUGCAAGUCGAACGGCAGCACAGUAAGAGCUUGCUCUUACGGGUGGCGAGUGGCGGACGGGUGAGGAAUAAAUCGGAAUCUACUUUUUCGUGGGGGAUAACGUAGGGAAGCUUACGCUAAUACCGCAUACCACCUACGGGUGAAAGCAGGGGAUCUUCGGACCUUGCGCGAUUGAAUGAGCCGAUGUCGGAUUAGCUAGUUGGCGGGGUAAAGGCCCACCAAGGCGACGAUCCGUAGCUGGUCUGAGAGGAUGAUCAGCCACACUGGAACUGAGACACGGUCCAGACUCCUACGGGAGGCAGCAGUGGGGAAUAUUGGACAAUGGGCGCAAGCCUGAUCCAGCCAUACCGCGUGGGUGAAGAAGGCCUUCGGGUUGUAAAGCCCUUUUGUUGGGAAAGAAAAGCAGCAGGUUAAUACCCCGCUGUUCUGACGGUACCCAAAGAAUAAGCACCGGCUAACUUCGUG
Molecule: ribosomal RNA, 492 nt
Filed under: uncultured bacterium
Lineage: Bacteria
Description: partial 16S ribosomal RNA
Rfam family: Bacterial small subunit ribosomal RNA
Source: RNAcentral